This is an RNA transcript of Dendrobium catenatum, 1631 nucleotides long. RefSeq lists it as uncharacterized. The record is from RefSeq and is a predicted model, not a curated record. The transcript is spliced from 12 exons. Lineage: Eukaryota; Viridiplantae; Streptophyta; Magnoliopsida; Asparagales; Orchidaceae.
UUCUUUCAAUUGAACUAAAGGAGAUUAUUUCUUACCGGCGGGGGCCUUAAUUCGUGCUUCCUGUGGAUUUCUGCUUCCCGAUCUCUUCCAACAUGGAUCUUCGCGGCUUGGCUAAGUUAGCUCUGUUGAUUUCUGUGUGGCUUAGUUCUUUUGAAGCUAGGGAAGAGAGCAGUAGUCUCUCGGUCAUCUUUUUUGACUCACCAUCCCACUCAUACAUCCGUCAGCAACCAUUGGGGAUCACAGGCGAGACAAAUUCUAUUUUAUUGGAUGAAGUUGCUGCAGCUAUAUCUGUUUUACUUGGUUUGGCACCACCCUUACUUCCAGUUGAAUCAUCUUCUAAGUUAAAUGAGAUGCUUCUCCCCAAUCCAUUUGAGAGGCCAUCUACCGUUUUUCUGCUAGAAGUGGGUGGAAUGGAUGGUCUUUUUCUUUCUACCCGUAGCUCUGAUUUCAAGGUGGGCAACUCUUUUAGCAGUAUUGUUCUUCAAUCAAAGAAGGCUAAAAUUCACGUUCCAGGUGAGGAAGAUGUUUUUGUUGUUGAUGUAGAUGAAAAUGCAUGUGCUGAAGAUGAUGAUUCUUGUGUUGAUAAAGAGCUAUUCGAACUUGCAAAGUGGUUUGGAGGGUCAUAUACAGGAAGCUUGAAAUCGCAAGAUGGAAAGUUGACCAUUCCAUUGUCCACGGGUAGCUCUUUAGAUCUGGAUGUUGCUAAGGAAUCUGACCGAACAUUUGCAGCUAGUCUUGCAUCGCUUGUUGAAAAUACAAGGAGGACUGUAGUAUUAAAUGAAGUUGCUCAAAGCAGUAUAAGAUCUGCAGAAUUAUUCAUUGGACGUUUUAGAGGACUUGAGGCUCUGGAGGUGGAAUAUGGUGAGGGGGAUAUUUUUAAACUUGGAGCACAAUUGGUGAAGGACUCCCUGAUCAAGUUAUUUAACACCUUACAGGAAUCUUCUGGUGGAAGAAUUGUCUGUGUCGUGGUGUCUAGCAAGGAUGCCUAUCCAAGCACAGAAAAUAUGUUAGAAGUUAUACAGUUACCUCGGUUGGCACGUUGGCUGGAUGAAAUGAGCUCUGAUAAUGAUACAAGUGCAGAGAUUAAACGGGUUUUAUUAGUGAGACGGAGUUUGGCAUGGAUAACUGCUAUUAUUCUUCUUGUCUCAACUCUAAUUGGGGUAUGAAUUCAUUGCUGGUAGUGGAUGAAAAAAUUGGCCGAAGGACAGCAAAGACUUCAACAUGAUAAUGCGUUAUGAAAUAAAAUAAAAUUCUCAAUUAAUAGUGAUGGUUCCGACAUCUAAAAGCCAUAUGAAUUAAAUGCAGAUAUGCUUCUUGAUGAACAUGCCACUUACAAGGGACACUCUUCUCUACUCCAAUGUCAAGCUGGACUAAGAGCAUUAUGAAGUAUUAAAAAGAAUAAUCUUUUGAUCAAUGAGAGUCAGUCAUAAACUUUGUGAGUAUAUGCUGUCUCAAUAUUUGCUUUUUUGAAAAAUACUGUAAUGUUCAAUGUGCCUUCAUAUGCUUGGCACUUCUGUCUAUAUAAAUUUUCCAUGUUCUCGCAUUAAUAGCUGAUUACUCUUUUAAAUCAAAUCGGAUUACUAAAAGCAUCCUAUUUGAACUUUAAUAAACUCGGCAUUAUUUUGUAUUUA